This 502-nucleotide ribosomal RNA is filed under the name uncultured bacterium. RNAcentral describes it as "bacterial SSU rRNA". It matches the Rfam family "Bacterial small subunit ribosomal RNA", at positions 903 to 1397 of the family's 1533-position model. The record is from RNAcentral.
AAAGGAAUUGACGGGGGCCCGCACAAGCGGAGGAACAUGUGGUUUAAUUCGAUGAUACGCGAGGAACCUUACCCGGGCUUGAAUUGCACUCGAAUUACUUGGAAACAGGUAAGCCGCAAGGCGAGUGUGAAGGUGCUGCAUGGUUGUCGUCAGCUCGUGCCGUGAGGUGUCGGCUUAAGUGCCAUAACGAGCGCAACCCACAUCAUCAGUUACUAACAGGGCGAUUACAUCAAUGCUGAGGACUCUGGUGAGACUGCCGUCGUAAGAUGAGAGGAAGGUGUGGAUGACGUCAAAUCAGCACGGCCCUUACGUCCGGGGCGACACACGUGUUACAAUGGGGGGUACAGAGAGUUGCCAGGCGGUGACGUCGAGCUAAUCUUGAAAACCUCUCUCAGUUCGGAUUGGAGUCUGCAACUCGACUCCAUGAAGCUGGAUUCGCUAGUAAUCGCGCAUCAGCCAUGGCGCGGUGAAUACGUUCCCGGGCCUUGUACACACCGCCCGU